Molecule: ribosomal RNA, 477 nt
Filed under: uncultured bacterium
Lineage: Bacteria
Description: partial 16S ribosomal RNA
Rfam family: Bacterial small subunit ribosomal RNA
Source: RNAcentral
GAUUAACGCUGGCGGCGUGCAUAACACAUGCAAGUCGAACGAUGAAACUUAAAUGAUUUCUUCGGAAUGAACUUAAGUGGAUUAGUGGCGGACGGGUGAGUAACGCGUGAGUAACCUGCCUUACACAAGGGGAUAGCCGUUGGAAACGACGAAUAAUACCCUAUGAAACUAUCACUUCGCAUGAAGCGAUAGUCAAAGUGUUAGCGGUGUAAGAUGGACUUGCGUCUGAUUAGCUAGUUGGUGAGAAAAAAGCCCACCAAGGCAACGAGCAGUAGCCGGCGUGAGAGAGUGUACGGCCACAUUGAGACUGAGACACGGCCCAGACGCCUACGAGAGGCAGCAGAGGUGAAUUAUGCGCAAUGGGGGAAACCCUGAUGCAGCGACGCCGCGUGAUUUAGAAGGGCUUCGGGUUGUAAAAAUCUUUUGUAUAGAGAGAAAAUGACAGUACUAUACGAAUAAGGUCCGGCUAAUUACGUG